This 448-nucleotide small RNA is filed under the name Pongo abelii (Sumatran orangutan). Its description in RNAcentral is "sense intronic". The record is from RNAcentral. Lineage: Eukaryota; Metazoa; Chordata; Mammalia; Primates; Hominidae.
UUUUUUUUUUUUUUUUUUGAGAUGGUGUCUAGCUGUGUCUCCCAGGCUGGAGUACAGUGGAGGUUGCAGUGAGCCAAGAUCACACCAUUGCACUCCAGCCUGGGUGACAAGAGUGAAACUCCAUCUGAAAAAAAAAAAAAAAGAAUUAAUUGGAACUUUAAGCUAAAAUAUAGUCAUAAUAUCUUAAAUGAGACUCUUCUAAGGCCCUUUUUUCUCAUUUUCCUUUUUUGUUUUCCUUCUUUUUUUCCCCCUUUUAUAUAUUUAUGAAAUCUCUUGAGAUCGCAUUUUAAACUUCAGGAAACAAACCAAUAAUGUGAGUAGAAGACACAAGCCUAGAGAGACAUGGUGCAAUAAAAGCAAGAGAAUAAUAUAGAAUAAUAUAGUGAGUAGAUGUUGAGCAAGAAACUGAGGUUUUGAAGCUUAAAUCUCCUUUCCAACUACUAAAAUC